UACAGAGGUCUCAAGCGUUGUUCGGAUUCAUUGGGCGUAAAGGGUGCGUAGGCGGCGCGGUAAGUCGGGUGUGAAAUUUCGGAGCUUAACUCCGAAACUGCAUUCGAUACUGCCGUGCUUGAGGACUGGAGAGGAGACUGGAAUUUACGGUGUAGCAGUGAAAUGCGUAGAGAUCGUAAGGAAGACCAGUGGCGAAGGCGGGUCUCUGGACAGUUCCUGACACUGAGGCACGAAGGCCAGGGGAGCAAACGGG
Molecule: ribosomal RNA, 253 nt
Filed under: uncultured bacterium
Lineage: Bacteria
Description: partial 16S ribosomal RNA
Rfam family: Bacterial small subunit ribosomal RNA
Source: RNAcentral